GCGGGGGUAGCAGAGCCAGGCCAAAUGCGCGGGACUCAAGAUCCCGUGGGGUAGCCCUACGUGGGUUCGAAUCCCACCCCCCGCACCA
This 88-nucleotide transfer RNA is filed under the name Candidatus Bathyarchaeota archaeon. Its description in RNAcentral is "tRNA-Leu". It matches the Rfam family "tRNA". Rfam says of the family: Transfer RNA (tRNA) molecules are approximately 80 nucleotides in length. Their secondary structure includes four short double-helical elements and three loops (D, anti-codon, and T loops). Further hydrogen bonds mediate the characteristic L-shaped molecular structure. tRNAs have two regions of fundamental functional importance: the anti-codon, which is responsible for specific mRNA codon recognition, and the 3' end, to which the tRNAs corresponding amino acid is attached (by aminoacyl-tRNA synthetases). tRNAs cope with the degeneracy of the genetic code in two manners: having more than one tRNA (with a specific anti-codon) for a particular amino acid; and 'wobble' base-pairing, i.e. permitting non-standard base-pairing at the 3rd anti-codon position. RNAcentral also lists the same sequence under 1 other name. The record is from RNAcentral. Lineage: Archaea; Thermoproteati; Candidatus Bathyarchaeota.